Molecule: ribosomal RNA, 496 nt
Filed under: uncultured bacterium
Lineage: Bacteria
Description: partial 16S ribosomal RNA
Rfam family: Bacterial small subunit ribosomal RNA
Source: RNAcentral
AUGAACGCUGGCGGCGUGCCUAAUACAUGCAAGUCGAGCGAACAGACGAGGAGCUUGCUCCUCUGACGUUAGCGGCGGACGGGUGAGUAACACGUGGAUAACCUACCUAUAAGACUGGGAUAACUUCGGGAAACCGGAGCUAAUACCGGAUAAUAUAUUGAACCGCAUGGUUCAAUAGUGAAAGACGGUUUUGCUGUCACUUAUAGAUGGAUCCGCGCCGCAUUAGCUAGUUGGUAAGGUAACGGCUUACCAAGGCAACGAUGCGUAGCCGACCUGAGAGGGUGAUCGGCCACACUGGAACUGAGACACGGUCCAGACUCCUACGGGAGGCAGCAGUAGGGAAUCUUCCGCAAUGGGCGAAAGCUUGACGGAGCAACGCCGCGUGAGUGAUGAAGGUCUUCGGAUCGUAAAACUCUGUUAUUAGGGAAGAACAAAUGUGUAAGUAACUAUGCACGUCUUGACGGAACCUAAUCAGAAAGCCACGGCUAACUACGUG